This 394-nucleotide ribosomal RNA is filed under the name uncultured bacterium. RNAcentral describes it as "bacterial SSU rRNA". It matches the Rfam family "Bacterial small subunit ribosomal RNA", at positions 358 to 769 of the family's 1533-position model. The record is from RNAcentral.
GGAAUAUUGGACAAUGGGCGCAAGCCUGAUCCAGCCAUGCCGCGUGUGUGAAGAAGGCCUUCGGGUUGUAAAGCACUUUCACCGGUGAAGAUAAUGACGGUAACCGGAGAAGAAGCCCCGGCUAACUUCGUGCCAGCAGCCGCGGUAAUACGAAGGGGGCUAGCGUUGUUCGGAAUUACUGGGCGUAAAGCGCACGUAGGCGGACAUUUAAGUCAGGGGUGAAAUCCCGGAGCUCAACUCCGGAACUGCCUUUGAUACUGGGUGUCUCGAGUAUGGAAGAGGUGAGUGGAAUUCCGAGUGUAGAGGUGAAAUUCGUAGAUAUUCGGAGGAACACCAGUGGCGAAGGCGGCUCACUGGUCCAUUACUGACGCUGAGGUGCGAAAGCGUGGGGAGC